GCCGGGUGCGGUGGCGCGUGCCUGUAGUCCCAGCUACUCGGGAGGCUGAGGUGGGAGGAUCGAUUGAGCCCAGGAGUUCUGGGCUGUAGAGCGCCAUGCCUAUCGGGUGUCCAUACUAAGUUCGACAUCAAUAUGGUGACCUCCCUGGAGCGGGGGACCACCAGGUUGCCUAAGGAGGGGUGAGCCGGCCCAGGUCGGAAAUGAAGCAGGUCACAACUCCUGUGCUGAUCAGUAGUGGGAUCGAGCCUAUGAAUAGCCACUGCACUCCAGCCUGGGCAAGAUAGCGAGAUCCUGUCUCU
This 299-nucleotide signal recognition particle RNA is filed under the name Cebus imitator (Panamanian white-faced capuchin). RNAcentral describes it as "Metazoan signal recognition particle RNA (ENSCCAG00000011619.1)". It matches the Rfam family "Metazoan signal recognition particle RNA". Rfam says of the family: The signal recognition particle (SRP) is a universally conserved ribonucleoprotein. It is involved in the co-translational targeting of proteins to membranes. Lineage: Eukaryota; Metazoa; Chordata; Mammalia; Primates; Cebidae. The record is from RNAcentral.